Non-coding RNA from Esox lucius (northern pike), 548 nucleotides. The record is from the annotation of a RefSeq genome assembly. Lineage: Eukaryota; Metazoa; Chordata; Actinopteri; Esociformes; Esocidae.
CUGCCAUCUGACAUCAUGAUCGCACUCCUCAUCAGAUUUUCUGUCUCAAUACUCUGGACAGGUUUUACUGAUGGGAGUGAUGUUACUCAGAGCCCCUUCAGACUCCAGAUUCUCAAGGACAAAGAUGUUCAGAUUGACUGUAGUCAUACUAAACCAGCUACCUAUAGAGAGAUGUAUUGGUACAGACAACGUCCAGGAGAAGGAAUCAAACAAAUAGUUCAUUCAAAUUCUUAUAGCAAUCCAGACUAUGGAGAAUUCAGUAAAGAGAAAUAUUCAGUUGUCAAGACAGAAGCACAGAGUGGAUCUUUCACAGUGAAGAAGUUGGAGACAGGAGACAGUGGAAUGUACUUCUGUGCUGUCAGUCGUUUAGCAGCAAGGUUCAUCAGACCCCAGUAGCACUAAUAGAGGGACCUGGAGAAAAUGUAGAAGUCACCAGAAAUCAUACUAUCCCUAGCUACUAUGGUAUUCUAUGGUACCAACAGUCUGCAGGAGACAUUGGUAUCAAACUCACUUGUAAUAUAUAUGCACAGUCAGUAACCAUGGAGACA